AGAAUCAACGCUGGCGGCGUGCCUAACACAUGCAAGUCGAACGAGAAAGUGGAGCAAUCCAUGAGUAAAGUGGCGCACGGGUGAGUAACACGUGACUAACCUACCCUUGAGUGGGGAAUAACUGAGGGAAACCUUAGCUAAUACCGCAUAAUACCUACGGGUCAAAGGAGCAAUUCGCUUAAGGAGGGGGUCGCGGCAGAUUAGCUAGUUGGCGGGUAAUGGCCCACCAAGGCAGUGAUCUGUA
This 244-nucleotide ribosomal RNA is filed under the name uncultured bacterium. RNAcentral's name for it is "partial small subunit ribosomal RNA". It matches the Rfam family "Bacterial small subunit ribosomal RNA", at positions 26 to 285 of the family's 1533-position model. The record is from RNAcentral.